GGCGUCAGGACGAACGCUGGCGGCGUGCCUAACACAUGCAAGUCGAGCGAGGAGAUCCUUCGGGAUGAUCCUAGCGGCGGACGGGUGAGUAACACGUGGGCAACCUGCCUCAUAGAGAGGAAUAGCCUUCCGAAAGGGAGAUUAAUACCUCAUAACAUUGCAGUUUCGCAUGGAACAGCAAUUAAAGGAGUAAUCCGCUAUGAGAUGGGCCCGCGGCGCAUUAGCUAGUUGGUGAGGUAACGGCUCACCAAGGCGACGAUGCGUAGCCGACCUGAGAGGGUGAUUGGCCACAUUGGGACUGAGACACGGCCCAGACUCCUACGGGAGGCAGCAGUGGGGAAUAUUGCACAAUGGGGGAAACCCUGAUGCCAGCAACGCCGCGUGAGUGAUGACGGCCUUCGGGUUGUAAAGCUCUGUCUUCAGGGACGAUAAUGACGGUACCUGAGGAGGAAGCCACGGCUAACUACGUGCCAGCCGCCGC
This 481-nucleotide ribosomal RNA is filed under the name uncultured bacterium. RNAcentral's name for it is "bacterial SSU rRNA". It matches the Rfam family "Bacterial small subunit ribosomal RNA", at positions 20 to 518 of the family's 1533-position model. The record is from RNAcentral.